UACGGAGGGAGCUAGCGUUGUUCGGAAUUACUGGGCGUAAAGCGCACGUAGGCGGCGAUUCAAGUCAGAGGUGAAAGCCCGGGGCUCAACUCCGGAACUGCCUUUGAAACUAGAUUGCUAGAAUCUUGGAGAGGCGAGUGGAAUUCCGAGUGUAGAGGUGAAAUUCGUAGAUAUUGGAAGAACACCAGUGGCGAAGGCGACUCGCUGGACAAGUAUUGACGCUGAGGUGCGAAAGCGUGGGGAGCAAACAGG
This 252-nucleotide ribosomal RNA is filed under the name uncultured bacterium. RNAcentral's name for it is "partial 16S ribosomal RNA". It matches the Rfam family "Bacterial small subunit ribosomal RNA", at positions 524 to 776 of the family's 1533-position model. The record is from RNAcentral.